Molecule: long non-coding RNA, 1262 nt
Organism: Herpailurus yagouaroundi (jaguarundi)
Lineage: Eukaryota; Metazoa; Chordata; Mammalia; Carnivora; Felidae
Exons: 3
Source: RefSeq, a predicted model, not a curated record
UCAUGAUGAUUCUCUGUGGGGGGAGGAGGGAUGUCAGGGUCUAAAGCAAACCUGGCUUUCAUCCACGUUUGGGGAAGACCAUCCAUUCCCUUGUUGUCAUGUUUUCUAGUGCAGGAACUUCUUGCCUCUAAUCCUGAUCCUUACUCUCUUCAUAGGAAUGGACCGAGUUACUGGAUCAAAAAGAGGCUGACAUACGCUGGUUCACAUUUGGAGGAAUGUGAACUCUCCUUCCCUCUACCUGGGACAGGUGCCAGGCUGCCAUCCUGGGUGCACACCAUGCCCUCCAGAAGAUCAGAGAGUGUCCUUGCCUACAGUGCUCUUGGAAAGGACCAACCAGAGCCAGCCAGAUACGACCCCUAACCGAUCACAUCGGAUGUCCUGCUUCUGGUUAGUUCACCUGCCGCCUCCCCACUCCCAGCAGCCUCCGGUCGGGCCACACCUGAAGCCUCGCCUUUCUCCACGGUAAAUCUUGCUCCCUGCCCUGCCUGCCUUCGAGUCUCUGCCCCGAUGCAAGUGACGGGGAUGGACUCCCGUUCUACAGCGGGUUCAGAAUAGAUUUUGCUUGUGUUAUUUGGAUUUGGUUUAUUUCUACGUAGUCGGUUCUCAAUAAUUGUUGCGUGGAGGAAGAAAAGGAUUAAAGAUGUUGAGGAAAUCUAUAUGGAAUACAAUUAUCCCCAGCUUUACUGAGCUACAACUGCCACCAUGUUGUGUAAGUUUAAGGUGAUUUGCGACACGCACAGCUACAUAAUUUUUAUUCGCCAAGCACAUGUAACGAAGCUGGGAAAAAUCCACAUUAAAAAAAAAAAGAGCAAAGGAAGGAAGUAGGGAAUCUGUUGUUUCUUUGUGCAGAGGGACUACUAGAUUUUUGCCGUUGGACAUAGUUUUCUCCGUUAAAACCAAUCAGGCUGAGAAAAGAAAAUUCAACAUCUCACGUGACUGAACCAUGAGGUUAAAAUGUGGGUUCUGAUCCAGUAGGUCUGGGGUGGGGCCUGAGGUCCUGCGUUGUGACAAGGUUCCGCAGGGAGCCGGUGCUGCUGGCUUAUCCCGCACCCAACGCAGCCAGAGCUUCGAGGUCUGGGAGGUAACUCCAGGCGGACCGCACCAUUUCCGUCCCCAGCAUCUCAAAACCAAGAUGGACAGCCUACGUCUCAGAUAGAGAAACUGCAUGUGACGGUCCCCGGUGGAAGUCAAUUCCUCUACAGGUUACCAAGAACACAGAAAACAAUGUAUAUUUUGAUUCCAAUUAAAAAAAGGGAAUGAUG